Molecule: ribosomal RNA, 724 nt
Filed under: uncultured bacterium
Lineage: Bacteria
Description: bacterial SSU rRNA
Rfam family: Bacterial small subunit ribosomal RNA
Source: RNAcentral
GAUGAACGCUGACAGAAUGCUUAACACAUGCAAGUCUACUUGAUCCUUCGGGUGAUGGUGGCGGACGGGUGAGUAACGCGUAAAGAACUUGCCCUGCAGUCUGGGACAACAUUUGGAAACGAAUGCUAAUACCGGAUAUUAUGUGAGUUUCGCAUGAAAUUCAUAUGAAAGCUAUAUGCGCUGCAGGAGAGCUUUGCGUCCUAUUAGCUAGUUGGUGAGGUAACGGCUCACCAAGGCGAUGAUAGGUAGCCGGCCUGAGAGGGUGAACGGCCACAAGGGGACUGAGACACGGCCCUUACUCCUGCGGGAGGCAGCAGUGGGGAAUAUUGGACAAUGGACCAAAAGUCUGAUCCAGCAAUUCUGUGUGCACGAUGAAGUUUUUCGGAAUGUAAAGUGCUUUCAGUUGGGACGAAGUAAGUGACGGUACCAACAGAAGAAGCGACGGCUAAAUACGUGCCAGCAGCCGCGGUAAUACGUAUGUCGCAAGCGUUAUCCGGAUUUAUUGGGCGUAAAGCGCGUCUAGGCGGUUUGGUAAGUCUGAUGUGAAAAUGCGGGGCUCAACUCCGUAUUGCGUUGGAAACUGCCAAACUAGAGUACUGGAGAGGUGGGCGGAACUACAAGUGUAGAGGUGAAAUUCGUAGAUAUUUGUAGGAAUGCCGAUGGGGAAGCCAGCCCACUGGACAGAUACUGACGCUAAAGCGCGAAAGCGUGGGUAGCAAACAGG